AUGAUCAGAAGGAGCACAGGUGAGUCCAUUGAUAGUCCACUGAUAGAACAAAGAACAUUCCACGGGACCCUCCUCCUGUUGUCCUUUGACCAUGUGCCCCAUGCGCCGGCUGGUUGGAUACUUAGCACUGGUGUCGGUGCCAUCGAUUUGCCCACCACAGCUGAGCUAUAUCCACUGGGUACCCUCGCCGCGCCCUCAGCAGGAUUGUGGGCAUCAAGAGCCAGGAGGUCCGGAGAGCACGGGUCCGACAGACAGUCAGACAGUCGUGCAGCUGUAUCACAGGAGGACAGACUGCGGUCAGAGCCUGAAAGUACUCGCGCUUGCGAGGAGAGAAGAGCAGACGGCUCGGCUGGAAGCCCCAGUGCCAGUUCUCGGAAGCGGAGUGGAAAGAGGAAGCAGUAAAGGCGCUGAAGAGCAGUGCGAGGCGGGGCCCACAGUUACAGACGGCAGAGCAAACACAGAGCGGAAGUCCUUGCCGGCACAGGGAUGAGCAUCCCCAGGCAGAGGGCACAGGGGUCGGCCGGGUCCAGCAAGCAGGCCGCAGACACCCUCCUCAGGCAGGCCCUGCGGAGCACCACAUCUCCCGGGCCUCUGUGCACAGGAACUGGGUUAAUUACGUUGAGUCCUCUUGGGUCAAACUUUCUGUCUUUAGACAGAUUCUGUUUUUGACUGAAUGUUUCCAUCAACUGUGUUCUCCCUGACAUUCAGGGAGGAGGGGGUAGGAGGAAGAGGAAGGAUACAAGGUUUUGUGUAUUAGUCUAAGAAUAAAUUUCUUUUUCAAACAAACGAACAAAAUUCCUAGGGACCCUUAGGAGUUUAGUAACAGCAGGUAGCCAGGCCUGGUGGUGCAGGCCUAUAAUCUCAGUACUUGAGAGGCUGAGGCAGGAGGAUUGCUGUGAGUUCAAGGCCAGCCUGGGCUACAUAGUGAGACCUUUUCUCAAAAACAAACAAACAAACAAGGGCCGGGGAUUUAGCUCAGCAGUUUGGUGGCCUGCCUUGCAAGGUUUGGUGGCCUGCCUUGCAAGCACAAGGACCCGAGUUCAAUCCCCGGUACCAAAACAAACAAACACCAGCAAGUAGUCUUGCUAUGUAGUUUGGGCUGGCUUUGAACUCACUAUGUGAACCUCCCAUCUCAGCAUCCCAAGUGCUGAGAUUACAGGUGUGCCCCUCCACGCCCUACUAGGUUAGCCA
This 1191-nucleotide long non-coding RNA is filed under the name Fukomys damarensis (Damara mole-rat). RNAcentral describes it as "lncRNA (ENSFDAG00000030825.1)". The record is from RNAcentral. Lineage: Eukaryota; Metazoa; Chordata; Mammalia; Rodentia; Bathyergidae.